This 564-nucleotide ribosomal RNA is filed under the name uncultured bacterium. RNAcentral's name for it is "bacterial SSU rRNA". It matches the Rfam family "Bacterial small subunit ribosomal RNA", at positions 108 to 667 of the family's 1533-position model. The record is from RNAcentral.
GAGCAAUGCUUAGGAAUCUGCCUAUUAGUGGGGGACAACAUUCCGAAAGGGAUGCUAAUACCGCAUACGUCCUACGGGAGAAAGCAGGGGAUCUUCGGACCUUGCGCUAAUAGAUGAGCCUAAGUCGGAUUAGCUAGUUGGUGGGGUAAAGGCCUACCAAGGCGACGAUCUGUAGCGGGUCUGAGAGGAUGAUCCGCCACACUGGGACUGAGACACGGCCCAGACUCCUACGGGAGGCAGCAGUGGGGAAUAUCGGACAAUGGGGGGAACCCUGAUCCAGCCAUGCCGCGUGUGUGAAGAAGGCCUUAUGGUUGUAAAGCACUUUAAGCGAGGGGGAGGCUACUGAGACUAAUACUCUUGGAUAGUGGACGUUACUCGCAGAAUAAGCACCGGCUAACUCUGUGCCAGCAGCCGCGGUAAUACAGAGGGUGCGAGCGUUAAUCGGAUUUACUGGGCGUAAAGCGUGCGUAGGCGGCUUUUUAAGUCGGAUGUGAAAUCCCCGAGCUUAACUUGGGAAUUGCAUUCGAUACUGGGAAGCUAGAGUAUGGGAGAGGAUGGUAGAAU